Molecule: ribosomal RNA, 398 nt
Filed under: Aggregatibacter sp.
Lineage: Bacteria; Pseudomonadati; Pseudomonadota; Gammaproteobacteria; Pasteurellales; Pasteurellaceae
Description: bacterial SSU rRNA
Rfam family: Bacterial small subunit ribosomal RNA
Source: RNAcentral
ACUGACGCAGCCAUGCCGCGUGAUGAGAAGGCCUUCGGGUUGUAAAGUUCUUUCGGUGACGAGGAAGGCGUGAUGUUUAAUAGGCAUCACGAUUGACGUUAAUCACAGAAGAAGCACCGGCUAACUCCGUGCCAGCAGCCGCGGUAAUACGGAGGGUGCGAGCGUUAAUCGGAAUAACUGGGCGUAAAGGGCACGCAGGCGGCUAUUUAAGUGAGGUGUGAAAUCCCCGGGCUUAACCUGGGAAUUGCAUUUCAGACUGGGUAGCUAGAGUACUUUAGGGAGGGGUAGAAUUCCACGUGUAGCGGUGAAAUGCGUAGAGAUGUGGAGGAAUACCGAAGGCGAAGGCAGCCCCUUGGGAAUGUACUGACGCUCAUGUGCGAAAGCGUGGGGAGCAAACA